This is a non-coding RNA of Pelobates cultripes (western spadefoot toad), 166 nucleotides long. The record is from the annotation of a GenBank genome assembly. NCBI's taxonomy places the organism in Eukaryota, Metazoa, Chordata, Amphibia, Anura, Pelobatidae.
UGGGGACACUGGGACACUUAGGGACAUUGGGAGACAUGGGGACACAGAGACACAUAGGGGCACAGCGUCCCCAUGUCUCCCAGUGUCCAUGUCUCCCAGCCAGUGGCCCUGGUGUCUCAGUGUCCCCAUGUCUCCCAGUGCCCCCCAUGUUCCCCAGCCAGUGUCU